This 393-nucleotide ribosomal RNA is filed under the name uncultured bacterium. RNAcentral describes it as "partial 16S ribosomal RNA". It matches the Rfam family "Bacterial small subunit ribosomal RNA", at positions 523 to 918 of the family's 1533-position model. The record is from RNAcentral.
AUACGGAGGAUGCAAGCGUUAUCCGGAUUUAUUGGGUUUAAAGGGUGCGUAGGCGGUUUGCUAAGCAGGAGGUGAAAUGCCGGCGCUCAACGUCGGAAGUGCCUCCCGAACUGGUGGACUGGAAUGACUCUGCCGUGGGAGGAAUGUGUAGUGUAGCGGUGAAAUGCUUAGAGAUUACACAGAACACCGAUUGCGAAGGCAUCUCACGAAGGGUUGAUUGACGCUGAGGCACGAAAGCGUGGGGAUCAAACAGGAUUAGAUACCCUGGUAGUCCACGCAGUAAACGAUGAUGGCUAACCGCUGGUUUAUUCGGAUCAGUGGCCAAGCGAAAGCGAUAAGCCAUCCACCUGGGGAGUACGACCGCAAGGUUGAAACUCAAAGGAAUUGACGGGG